RNAcentral lists this ribosomal RNA (848 nucleotides) under uncultured Acidobacteriota bacterium. RNAcentral's name for it is "bacterial SSU rRNA". It matches the Rfam family "Bacterial small subunit ribosomal RNA", at positions 38 to 916 of the family's 1533-position model. The record is from RNAcentral. Lineage: Bacteria; Pseudomonadati; Acidobacteriota.
GGCUGCCGGGUCAUGAGCUGCAGUCGACGGACGAGCUUGCUCGUUAGUGGCGGACGGCUGAGUAACGCGUGGGUGACCUGCCCCGAAGUGGGGGAUAACUGCCCGAAAGGGUGGCUAAUACCGCAUGUGGCGACGUCUUCAGUGACGUCAUCAAAGCCGCGAGGCGCUUCGGGAGGGGCCUGCGUCCGAUUAGCUCGUUGGUGGGGUAAUGGCUCACCAAGGCGACGAUCGGUAGGUGGUCUGAGAGGACGAUCACCCAGACUGGGACUGAGACACGGCCCAGACUCCUACGGGAGGCAGCAGUCGGGAAUUUUGCUCAAUGGGCGCAAGCCUGAAGCAGCAACGCCGCGUGAGGGAUGAAUGCCCUCGGGUUGUAAACCUCUUUUCUCAGGGACGAUGAUGACGGUACCUGAGGAAUAAGUCACGGCUAACUACGUGCCAGCAGCCGCGGUAAUACGUAGGUGACCAGCGUUGUCCGGAUUUACUGGGCGUAAAGAGCGCGCAGGCGGUCGUUCAAGUCGAGUGUGAAAGCCCCCGGCUCAACUGGGGAGGGUCACUCGAUACUGAUCGACUUGAAGGCAGGAGAGGGAAGCGGAAUUCCCGGUGUAGUGGUGAAAUGCGUAGAUAUCGGGAGGAACACCAGUGGCGAAGGCGGCUUCCUGGCCUGUUCUUGACGCUGAGGCGCGAAAGCUAGGGGAGCAAACGGGAUUAGAUACCCCGGUAGUCCUAGCCGUAAACGAUGGACACUAGGUGUUGGUGGUAUCAACCCCACCAGUGCCGAAGCUAACGCAUUAAGUGUCCCGCCUGGGGAGUACGGCCGCAAGGCUAAAACUCAAAGGAAUUGACGG